UACGGAGGGUGCAAGCGUUAUCCGGAUUCACUGGGUUUAAAGGGAGCGUAGGUGGGCUGGUAAGUCAGUGGUGAAAUCUCCGGGCUUAACUCGGAAACUGCCGUUGAUACUAUCAGUCUUGAAUAUUGUGGAGGUAAGCGGAAUAUGUCAUGUAGCGGUGAAAUGCUUAGAUAUGACAUAGAACACCAAUUGCGAAGGCAGCUCACUACACAAUCAUUGACGCUGAGGCACGAAAGCGUGGGGAUCAAACAGG
This 253-nucleotide ribosomal RNA is filed under the name uncultured bacterium. RNAcentral describes it as "partial 16S ribosomal RNA". It matches the Rfam family "Bacterial small subunit ribosomal RNA", at positions 524 to 776 of the family's 1533-position model. The record is from RNAcentral.